GGGACACGUGGUAUCCUGUCUGAAUAUGGGGGGACCAUCCUCCAAGGCUAAAUACUCCUGACUGACCGAUAGUGAACCAGUACCGUGAGGGAAAGGCGAAAAGAACCCCGGCGAGGGGAGUGAAAAAGAACCUGAAACCGUGUACGUACAAGCAGUGGGAGCCUCUUAAUGGGGUGACUGCGUACCUUUUGUAUAAUGGGUCAGCGACUUAUAUUCUGUAGCAAGGUUAACCGAAUAGGGGAGCCGAAGGGAAACCGAGUCUUAACUGGGCGUUAAGUUGCAGGGUAUAGACCCGAAACCCGGUGAUCUAGCCAUGGGCAGGUUGAAGGUUGGGUAACACUAACUGGAGGACCGAACCGACUAAUGUUGAAAAAUUAGCGGAUGACUUGUGGCUGGGGGUGAAAGGCCAAUCAAACCGGGAGAUAGCUGGUUCUCCCCGAAAGCUAUUUAGGUAGCGCCUCGUGAAUUCAUCUCCGGGGGUAGAGCACUGUUUCGGCAAGGGGGUCAUCCCGACUUACCAACCCGAUGCAAACUGCGAAUACCGGAGAAUGUUAUCACGGGAGACACACGGCGGGUGCUAACGUCCGUCGUGAAGAGGGAAACAACCCAGACCGCCAGCUAAGGUCCCAAAGUCAUGGUUAAGUGGGAAACGAUGUGGGAAGGCCCAGACAGCCAGGAUGUUGGCUUAGAAGCAGCCAUCAUUUAAAGAAAGCGUAAUAGCUCACUGGUCGAGUCGGCCUGCGCGGAAGAUGUAACGGGGCUAAACCAUGCACCGAAGCUGCGGCAGCGACGCUUAUGCGUUGUUGGGUAGGGGAGCGUUCUGUAAGCCUAUGAAGGU
Molecule: ribosomal RNA, 838 nt
Filed under: Escherichia coli
Lineage: Bacteria; Pseudomonadati; Pseudomonadota; Gammaproteobacteria; Enterobacterales; Enterobacteriaceae
Description: partial 23S ribosomal RNA
Rfam family: Bacterial large subunit ribosomal RNA
Source: RNAcentral